Molecule: ribosomal RNA, 705 nt
Filed under: uncultured bacterium
Lineage: Bacteria
Description: bacterial SSU rRNA
Rfam family: Bacterial small subunit ribosomal RNA
Source: RNAcentral
AUUUUCACCGAAGCUUGCUUCACCGAAAAUCACCACUUACGAACGGGUGAGUAACGCGUGGGUAACCUACCUAUCCUUUGGGGAUAACUAUUGGAAACGAUAGCUAAUACCGCAUAACAAUGUUGGAUGCAUAUUCGACAUUUGAAAGUACCAACUGGUACACUGAGAGAUGGACCCGCGUUGUAUUAGCUAGUUGGUAGUGUAAUGGACUACCAAGGCGAUGAUACAUAGCCGACCUGAGAGGGUGAUCGGCCACAUUGGGACUGAGACACGGCCCAAACUCCUACGGGAGGCAGCAGUAGGGAAUCUUCGGCAAUGGACGAAAGUCUGACCGAGCAACGCCGCGUGAGUGAAGAAGGUUUUCGGAUCGUAAAACUCUGUUGUUAGAGAAGAACGUUGCAUAGAGUGGAAAAUUAUGCAAGUGACGGUAUCUAACCAGAAAGGGACGGCUAGCUACGUGCCAGCAGCCGCGGUAAUACGUAGGUCCCGAGCGUUGUCCGGAUUUAUUGGGCGUAAAGCGAGCGCAGGUGGUUUAAUAAGUCUGAUGUAAAAGGCAGUGGCUCAACCAUUGUGUGCAUUGGAAACUGUUAGACUUGAGUGCAGUAGAGGAGAGUGGAAUUCCAUGUGUAGCGGUGAAAUGCGUAGAUAUAUGGAGGAACACCGGUGGCGAAAGCGGCUCUCUGGACUGUCACCGACACUGAGGCU